AGGGUUUGAUCAUGGCUCAGAUUGAACGCUGGCGGCAGGCCUAACACAUGCAAGUCGAGCGGUAACAGGGGAAGCUUGCUUCUCGCUGACGAGCGGCGGACGGGUGAGUAAUGUAUGGGGAUCUGCCCGAUAGAGGGGGAUAACUACUGGAAACGGUAACUAAUACCGCAUAAUCUCUCAGGAGCAAAGCAGGGGAACUUCGGUCCUUGCGCUAUCGGAUGAACCCAUAUGGGAUUAGCUAGUUGGUGAGGUAAUGGCUCACCAAGGCGACGAUCCCUAGCUGGUCUGAGAGGAGGAUCAGCCACACUGGGACUGAGACACGGCCCAGACUCCUACGGGAGGCAGCAGUGGGGAAUAUUGCACAAUGGGCGCAAGCCUGAUGCAGCCAUGCCGCGUGUAUGAAGAAGGCCCUAGGGUUGUAAAGUACUUUCANUCGGGA
This 439-nucleotide ribosomal RNA is filed under the name uncultured bacterium. RNAcentral's name for it is "bacterial SSU rRNA". It matches the Rfam family "Bacterial small subunit ribosomal RNA", at positions 8 to 445 of the family's 1533-position model. The record is from RNAcentral.